AAUUCACGUAACACCUCCCUUCCCAAUAUGCCAACCUCUUCCUUUGUUCUUAGGGCAUACAAAACCACCGUGGUCUGUGCAUAUCCCUGGGCUGCAAUUCCGUUUUUAUAUACAUUCUCCAGGAAAACCGUCUGCUUAGAGAUUCGCCUCUGUCUUUAUUUCACUGCGGCAGAGUGAAGGUGUUCCGAAGGUGGAGGAGGCCCUCGGGCAGCACUGUUGGCCCUUACCAGCCAUUCCAAUCAUCGUAUUCCUCCAAGGAUGAGCAUACUACCCUUGAUUACAUGUACGCUCCAGUGCAUCCCGGUGAAACCUGCCAGACAAUCUGGGAAUGAGAAAGCUCUUGAAAUCUUCAUGCCAAAGGUGGAGCUUGCACCACGCAAGACAUUUUACAACCAAUCUGCAUCACAAUAAUCCUGCCAGAUGACAUCACAAUGGUCCUGUCAGGAAGCUGGCUCCAAGGAGGACCUUGACACUGCUUUAAACAAGACCACCAGUUUGCUUAAGGAUUCAACAAGCAGAUCUUGGCAAGGCAAAUUUAUAAGCACUAGUUAAAGGUUAAGAAAAGUUCUGGCGUCCUUAUUGAACCCAAGAGAAGCAGAAAUGCUAGCGUGUAUGACCAUGGACCACUAAGCAAGGAAGUGCUUUUACAGGCCUCAGCGGUGGUGGGAGUCCCAGAGCAGGCUCUUUGCAGGGAAGGAAGCAAAAGGGCGAGAAUAACUGGAGUAGUUUAACAAUGUGAUUGGUUAACUGGGGUUAGGCUCAAUAAAACGCUUUGGGCCUGCUAUUGCUGGGCAGACUAAUUGUACCACAGAGAUUCAGGCCACGUGUGGCAACAGUUGCAGAGUGUUGGUUCUAUUGUGCUGGUUAUUUUCCAGCAGGGACACAUGACGUUUCUCACGACUCCAGUGUCAGCUGUUUAGUGCUGUAGACCCUGUCCUGGGCCAUGCUGUAAUGUUCACAUGAAAUGUACAAGAGUUGAUACGUCUUUUUCACAAGCAAAAUAAUUUUAGAACCAUCAUGAAUUAUUUGUUUUAUCAUAUGCUCAGUUUACAAAUUAACUGGAGUAAUUUUACUCUGCUCUGAAGGUUCUAGCAGAAAACAGAGCUAGGAAUUAUUUCUCCCCC
Molecule: long non-coding RNA, 1124 nt
Filed under: Callithrix jacchus (white-tufted-ear marmoset)
Lineage: Eukaryota; Metazoa; Chordata; Mammalia; Primates; Cebidae
Description: lncRNA (ENSCJAG00000075561.1)
Source: RNAcentral